RNAcentral lists this ribosomal RNA (433 nucleotides) under uncultured bacterium. RNAcentral's name for it is "partial 16S ribosomal RNA". It matches the Rfam family "Bacterial small subunit ribosomal RNA", at positions 29 to 507 of the family's 1533-position model. The record is from RNAcentral.
AACGAACGCUGGCGGCAUGCCUAACACAUGCAAGUCGAACGAGACCUUCGGGUCUAGUGGCGCACGGGUGCGUAACGCGUGGGAACCUGCCCUUAGGUUCGGAAUAACUCCCCGAAAGGGGUGCUAAUACCGGAUAAUGUCUUCGGACCAAAGAUUUAUCGCCUUUUGAUGGGCCCGCGUUGGAUUAGCUAGUUGGUAGGCUAAAAGCCUACCAAGGCGACGAUCCAUAGCUGGUCUGAGAGGAUGAUCAGCCACACUGGGAGUGAGACACGGCGCGGACUCCUACGAGAGGCAGGAAUGGGGAAUAUUGGACGAUGGGCGAAAGACUGAUCCAGCAAGGCCGCGUGAGUGAUGAAGGCCUUAGGGUUGUAAAGCUCUUUUACCCGGGAUGAUAAUGACAGUACCGGGAGAAUAAGCUCCGGCUAACUCCGUG